UGAUAGGGCGAUCUGGCUGCAACAUCUGUCACCCCAUUGAUCACCAGGGUUGAUUUGGCUGAUCUGGCUGGCUAGGUGGGUGUCCCCUUCCUCCCUCAUUGCUCCAUGUGCGUCCCUCCCGAAGCUGCAGCUGCGUGCUCUUUGGAAGAGGACGACCUUCCCCGAUAGAGGAGGACCUUUCUUUGGUCAAGGGUAUACGAGUAGCUGCGCUCCCCUGCUAGAACCUCCAAACAAGCUCUCAAGGUGGCUCACACUUGUAAUCCCAGGGCUCAGGAGGCUGAAGCAGGAGGCUUGAUAGUUCAAAGCCAGCCUCAGCAAAAGUGAGGGGCU
This 330-nucleotide small nuclear RNA is filed under the name Marmota marmota marmota (Alpine marmot). RNAcentral describes it as "7SK RNA (ENSMMMG00000000412.1)". It matches the Rfam family "7SK RNA". From Rfam's summary of the family: 7SK was discovered as an abundant small nuclear RNA in the mid-70s but a possible function has only recently been suggested. Lineage: Eukaryota; Metazoa; Chordata; Mammalia; Rodentia; Sciuridae. The record is from RNAcentral.